GCUUUUCUAUCAAAUGGUUGCAGCUUUUUUCUUGUAAACAGCCUUGGUUAAUGCUUUCUCUAUCGUUUCGGGUUGAACCUUUUUUAUCAAGGGUUGUAGCAUUUUAUGUCGACGGUUGUAGCACUCCGCCAUGGCAAUGACUGCUUGCAGCUUUUGAUGUAUCUGGUUGAAGCUUUUUUCAUCUACGGUCGAAGCUUUUCUAUCAAAUGGUUGCAGCUUUUUUCUUUGUAGCAGCCUUGGUUAAUGCUUUCUCUAUCGUUUCAGGUUGAAGCUUUUUCAUCAAGGGUUGUAGCAUUUUAUGUCGACGGUUGUAGCACUCCGCCAUGGCAAUGACUGCUUGCAGCUUUUGAUGUAUCUGGUUGAAGCUUUUUUCAUCUUGGUUUGAAGCAUUUUGGUUAAACGGUUGUAGCAUGAGGGC
Molecule: long non-coding RNA, 418 nt
Filed under: Triticum aestivum (bread wheat)
Lineage: Eukaryota; Viridiplantae; Streptophyta; Magnoliopsida; Poales; Poaceae
Description: long non-coding RNA (TAES_LNC025530)
Source: RNAcentral